GUCAAGUCUGUUCUCACCUCCCAAGCGAUUCACUGCCUCAUCCCUCUGCAUAUGAAGAAAGGUGUUUUGCUUGACAUCACUAAGAUCGAGAGAGCUUUCCUAUGGGCUGGAACAGACAAGGUAAAUGGAGGAAAAUGCAAAGUGAAAUGGGAAAUUAUGUGCAGGCCAAUGUCCCUGGGUGAUCUGGGCAUCCUCGACUUGGACAAAUUCUCCCGUGCCCUCAGGUUGCGCUGGCCUUGGUGGGAGUGGAAGGACCUAGACCAGACUUGGAUCGGGCUAGGUACACCUUGCGAUGACAAAGACAUGAACCUUUUCUACAAGAUCUCUUCCAUCACUAUUGAAGACGGGAAGACGACCAAGUUCUGGUCCUCACCGUGGCUAGGUGGGACUAAGCCCAAGGAUAUUGCACCUUCCAUUUUCAGCAUCUCCAGGUUCAUCAAUGGCUACGUCCAAAGAGCUUUGCUAAAUGAUGAUUGGGUUCGUCUCCUUGAUUUUGUGGUCCUUUGGGUGAAGCUGGCCUCCGUUCAACUACAUGAUCUAUCACCUGGACGCUCAAUGCCUUUGGUGUCUACGCCGCCGCCUCGGCAUACAGGGCGCAGUUUGACCAAUGAUGGAGCUACAUGUAAGGCUGAGAGGGCCGUGGCCCCCCAGCCGAAAUGA
RNAcentral lists this ribosomal RNA (660 nucleotides) under Triticum aestivum (bread wheat). RNAcentral describes it as "partial small subunit ribosomal RNA". Lineage: Eukaryota; Viridiplantae; Streptophyta; Magnoliopsida; Poales; Poaceae. The record is from RNAcentral.